GGAGGGUGCAAGCGUUGUUCGGAAUUAUUGGGCGUAAAGAGCGUGUAGGCGGCUAGACAAGUCAGAUGUGAAAUCCCUGGGCUUAACCGAGGAAGUGCAUUUGAUACUAGGAGACUUGAGUAUGGGAGAGGGAAGCGGAAUUCCUGGUGUAGCGGUGAAAUGCGUAGAUAUCAGGAGGAACACCGGUGGCGAAGGCGGCUUCCUGGACCAAUACUGACGCUGAGGCGCGAAGGCGUGGGGAGCAAACAGGAUUAGAUACCCUGGUAGUCCACGCAGUAAACGGUGAACACUAGGUGUAGCGGGUAUUGACCCCUGCUGUGCCGAAGCUAACGCAUUAAGUGUUCCGCCUGGGAAGUACGGCCGCAAGGUUA
Molecule: ribosomal RNA, 371 nt
Filed under: uncultured bacterium
Lineage: Bacteria
Description: bacterial SSU rRNA
Rfam family: Bacterial small subunit ribosomal RNA
Source: RNAcentral